GAUGAACGCUAGCGAUAGGCUUAACACAUGCAAGUCGAGGGGCAGCAUGGUCUUAGCUUGCUAAGACUGAUGGCGACCGGCGCACGGGUGCGUAACGCGUAUGCAACUUGCCUCACAGAGGGGGAUAACCCGUCGAAAGACGGACUAAUACCGCGUACACUCCAUCUUGGGCAUCCAAGGUAGAGGAAAUGAAAUUCGCUGUGAGAUAGGCAUGCGUCCCAUUAGCUAGUUGGUGAGGUAACGGCUCACCAAGGCGACGAUGGGUAGGGGAACUGAGAGGUUGAACCCCCACACUGGUACUGAGACACGGACCAGACUCCUACGGGAGGCAGCAGUGAGGAAUAUUGGUCAAUGGGCGAGAGCCUGAACCAGCCAAGUCGCGUGAAGGAUGACUGUCUUAUGGAUUGUAAACUUCUUUUAUACGGGAAUAACAAGAGUCACGUGUGACCCCCUGCAUGUACCGUAUGAAUAAGCAUCGGCUAACUCCGUG
RNAcentral lists this ribosomal RNA (490 nucleotides) under uncultured bacterium. Its description in RNAcentral is "partial 16S ribosomal RNA". It matches the Rfam family "Bacterial small subunit ribosomal RNA", at positions 28 to 507 of the family's 1533-position model. The record is from RNAcentral.